GUGAGGAAUAUUGCGCAAUGGAGGCAACUCUGACGCAGCCAUGCCGCGUGCAGGAAGAAGGCGCUACGCGUUGUAAACUGCUUUUAACCGGGAAGAAACCCCAGGACGUGUCCUGGGUUGACGGUACCGGAGGAAUAAGCACCGGCUAACUUCGUGCCAGCAGCCGCGGUAAUACGAAGGGGGCAAGCGUUAUCCGGAUUCAUUGGGUUUAAAGGGUGCGUAGGCGGAGCGUUAAGUCAGUGGUGAAAUCCUGCAGCUUAACUGUAGACUUGCCAUUGAUACUGGCGCUCUUGAGUGCGCUUGAAGUGGGCGGAAUGUGCCGUGUAGCGGUGAAAUGCUUAGAUAUGGCACAGAACACCAAUUGCGAAGGCAGCUCACUAAGGCGAUACUGACGCUGAGGCACGAAAGCGUGGGGAUCGAACAGGAUUAGAAACCCGAGUAGUCC
RNAcentral lists this ribosomal RNA (445 nucleotides) under uncultured bacterium. Its description in RNAcentral is "partial 16S ribosomal RNA". It matches the Rfam family "Bacterial small subunit ribosomal RNA", at positions 354 to 796 of the family's 1533-position model. The record is from RNAcentral.